Catenaria anguillulae PL171 is the source of this 73-nucleotide transfer RNA. It matches the Rfam family "tRNA". Rfam says of the family: Transfer RNA (tRNA) molecules are approximately 80 nucleotides in length. Their secondary structure includes four short double-helical elements and three loops (D, anti-codon, and T loops). Lineage: Eukaryota; Fungi; Blastocladiomycota; Blastocladiomycetes; Blastocladiales; Catenariaceae. The record is from Rfam.
GGUCGUAUGGUGUAGUCGGUUAGCACACGAGACUCUGAAUCUCGGGACCUGAGUUCGAAUCUCAGUAUGACCU